UCUUAUCAAUGAGGCAGAUCAUGGGUUCUUAUUGUAAUAGUGUAUAAUGUUGGUUACAACUGUGGACUCCCUGGCUCUGUCUCAAAUCUAUUGAUUC
RNAcentral lists this microRNA precursor (97 nucleotides) under Aotus nancymaae (Ma's night monkey). Its description in RNAcentral is "miRNA (ENSANAG00000013382.1)". The stretch from base 9 to 85 matches the Rfam family "mir-591 microRNA precursor family". Lineage: Eukaryota; Metazoa; Chordata; Mammalia; Primates; Aotidae. The record is from RNAcentral.